RNAcentral lists this ribosomal RNA (253 nucleotides) under uncultured bacterium. RNAcentral's name for it is "partial 16S ribosomal RNA". It matches the Rfam family "Bacterial small subunit ribosomal RNA", at positions 524 to 776 of the family's 1533-position model. The record is from RNAcentral.
UACGAAGGGGGCGAGCGUUGUUCGGAUUUACUGGGCGUAAAGGGCGCGCAGGCGGUCUUGAAAGUCAGGCGUGAAAGCCCCGGGCUUAACCUGGGAAUUGCGCUUGAUACUCUGAGACUGGAGUACGGGAGAGGAGGGUGGAAUUCCCAGUGUAGAGGUGAAAUUCGUAGAUAUUGGGAAGAACACCAGUGGCGAAGGCGGCUCUCUGGACCGUAACUGACGCUGAGGCGCGAAAGCGUGGGGAGCAAACAGG